GCUCUUCUUGAUAACAAAACGCCAAAGGGCAAAUUCUCAAUCAGUGAAACAGUCAAACGAUCCAGCUUUCCAUCACAUGUAAUGCCUUGUUAGGCCAAACCCUAGUUUCACCUCUUAAAACUAUUCUGUAUCUGGCUGCAGGUGCUGUGUUCCCUGCGCUCCCAUGUGCAGGACUAUCUGGCUGCAGUCAGUAAUAUCGCGUGCUGGAGUUACUGGAGCUGUACGGAAAACUUGGGGUUGAUACAUCAUGUAUGAACCUUUGACAGGUCUAGCAGUGGACUAGUGGACUUUCCUGACAUCUUCAGAGGUUUCAUCCUCCUGGAUGCUGUGCUCCUGUGAACCACUUCUUUGCCCUGGUCAGAAGGGCUGUUGGUCAGGCAGCGAGGUUCGUGAACUGCAGCAGUUCCCCCUAGUCCAGCAGUUUCCUUGGUACACGCACUGGCUCCAUUGCUGCUGCGCUGAUGCCAGAGGUUGGGAAAACAACAUUUUGAUACGAAUGGAGAGACUCUAG
RNAcentral lists this long non-coding RNA (511 nucleotides) under Struthio camelus australis. RNAcentral's name for it is "lncRNA (ENSSCUG00000005822.1)". The record is from RNAcentral. Lineage: Eukaryota; Metazoa; Chordata; Aves; Struthioniformes; Struthionidae.